Long non-coding RNA from Bactrocera dorsalis (oriental fruit fly), 2678 nucleotides. RefSeq lists it as uncharacterized. NCBI's taxonomy places the organism in Eukaryota, Metazoa, Arthropoda, Insecta, Diptera, Tephritidae. The record is from RefSeq and is a predicted model, not a curated record. The transcript has 5 exons.
UUGCCAGCCUUUCUGUCCAUUUUUUAUUUAUGAGUAGUUUUUACUAUCGUAUCUUCAAAGUUGGUUCGAACUGGAGAGGGUGUGCUAAAUUUUGCUGAAAUCGGUUCAGUAGUUUAGGAGUCCAUCGCGAAUAAACAACGUGACACGUAAUUUUUAUACAUACAUAUAUUAAGGUCACUUAAUAUGUAUUCUGCAAAAGAAAAUCUAAAAUUUGUGUUGCAUUCAUUUAAUCAAAUGGUGAAACUGUGUCACGUGUGUUUUCAUGUUUACGUAAACAAUGUGUUGGCAGAAAACUGUUUUUAUAUUUAUACCCUGAACAGGGUAUAUUAAGUUUGUCACGAAGUUUGUAACACCCAGAAGGAAGCGUCGGAGACCCUAUAAAGUAUAUGCAUAUACAUAUAAAUUAUCAGUAUGUUGAGCUGAGUGGAUUUAGCCAUGUCCAUCUGUCUGUCUGUCCGUCUGUAUAUAUACGAACUAGUCUCUCAGUUUUGAAAUUUUGCAAACGUCAUUUUCUCUUCGAGAAGAUGCUCAUUUGUCGGAACUGUCCUAUAAACUGAACGAUCGGAAUCAAGUUCUUGUAUGGAAAACUUUCACAUUUGUCAAUGUAUCUUCACGAAAUUCGGUAUAGAUUAUUGUUCAUAUCGGGGCACUAUAGGAUAUAGCUGUCAUACAAACCAAACGAUCGGAAUCAAAGGCUUGAAAACUUUUGAAUUUGACCAUAUACGUGGAAUGAGAAUUAAGUAAAGAGACAGAGCUAUACAGCGAUUCCAGCGCGUUUUCCAUGCUUCGUAAUAUUUCUGGAACGCUUCGACUGGGAUGUCCGCGAGUCGACUUGCUCAUGCGAGCUUUUUAGGGACGGGGGGCGCGCGGAGACAACCAUUGUGAGCUUUGGCGUUUGGUUUCCGGGUCGUAAGAGCACUAUCACCAUACACUCUUACAAUUUUAGCGUACGUUUCCGAAGCUGUUUCGCCCAAUCUGGCGCAAAAUUUUAUCGCGACGCGUCGCUCUUGAUUUCGUUAUUCCAUUUUCGUGACGAGCACUGCAAACACACGUCUACUCAACCUGACGCAGUAGGUGAACUAAACAAGCUAGAGCGAUGGUACAUAUAUCAAUGGAGAGGGGAGGGAUGCCGGAAAAAGAGAAAGAGAAUUUCUCACAAGCGCGGCAAUAAAAUAAGUCUCAUUACUUAAUUGUCAAAUCCCGUAUAUCGGCUGCACCGAAGCUAACGUUUUUUCUGUUUUUUUUUCUAAAAAAUAAUAAAUAUUUGUGCUCAGAUCAUAAUCUUUUCAUAGUUUUUCCAGUAAAGAAAUAAGGAAGCAAUUAAUAUAACGGGUUAAAGCUUUGCACAAAUAUGCCACCUUAUGACCCAAAAAUUUUUUAAAUUCAAUAAAAUCUUUUCAAGCCCCUAGGUAUCGACUAUUUCGAUCCCGGUAUCUAUAGUUGCCUUGUUAUCAAAAAUGUCGAUCAAUGUGUGAUAUAUAUAUCUGAAAUUAAGGGAUAAUCCUCCUCGGCCAAUAUGUGAGUUAUCCCAAUGAAAAUAAGUGAGAGUGUUAUGUUCAUAACAGUGCAUCUUUGUGCCUGAAAUAGAUAAAUUUGACUGAAAUUUGACCUAGACCCUAUAUAACUAAUAUCAGAAUUUGCGAACACCUUAUAGUAUUUCCCUGGCUUUGAUUCUUGCAAGUCGGUUGCACCCGAACUUAGCCCUUCCUUAAUUGGAUAGUAAAAACCAUUCAUAAAUAAAAAAAUACAGUGAAAGUUCUAUUAAAUAGACGCUCUAUUAAGUGGGCAUCUCCAUUAACCAUGCAUUCUGGCCGGUCCCACAAUUUGUUGAUUAUUAAGUACAAUCGGACAACUCUAUUAACUGAACAGAAACGCUGGUAACCAGAUAUUAGAAAGCGGCCUUAAAUUCAUGAUUCGCAAAUUCAUUCCGAAAACAACUAUAGCGGCAGCAGCAAUAACAUCAACUAUCUCAAAACCAAUAAUAAUACCAACUUCCCCAACGGCAAUAGCAGUAACAAAACCUGUGAAAGGUGCAAAUUGACGAUUUGAACACCAAAUUUGACAACAUGCUAGAUUACCUUAAAAAAAUGAUGGAAGUUCAGGCAAAGCAAGGUGCCCAAUUAAGCGUUCUUGCUAAUAAGGACGCAGAUAUGAGGAAUUUGAGCAAACUCUCCCUAUAAAAACCAUUGAAGAAAUGGAAAGCGUCAAUAACGCCAUAAAUGAGGUGAACAUCAAUGAAUAUAUUAACGCAAUAAAACACUUAUUAAAGGGGGAUCAUGAAAAGCACUUUGAGGAAAUUAUCUCCAGAUCUAUGUGCAACGAAGUCAAUGUAGGCGUCCAUGGCAAGAUUUGGCUCAAAAAAUAUAUUUCCUUGUAUGAUGCGAUUAUAAGUGGAUUGUCGGCGACGUCAGAAAAGCCCGAUAAGCAACUAUCGAAAUGCCUCCACAUUGUUAAAAAAAGGCUGUAUAGAUUGACCACAGUUAAUAAACUAAAUAUCGGAAAUAACUAAUAUAAUUAACACUAUUGACUUUUUUUAUCUACUUUUAGUAUAAAAACAGAUUUUUUUUUUUUACAGAAUAUGUGAUUAUUUUUUUUUUAAUUUUUGAAAUCAUUAUCUGAGGAAUUGUUUUUUUUGUAUUUUUGAAAUCAUUAUUAUAAAUUAUACUUAGUUUUAAGAA